RNAcentral lists this ribosomal RNA (1343 nucleotides) under uncultured bacterium. Its description in RNAcentral is "16S ribosomal RNA". It matches the Rfam family "Bacterial small subunit ribosomal RNA", at positions 28 to 1378 of the family's 1533-position model. The record is from RNAcentral.
GACGAACGCUGGCGGCGUGCUUAACACAUGCAAGUCGAACGGAAAGGCCCUGCUUUUGUGGGGUGCUCGAGAGGCGAACGGGUGAGUAACACGUGAGUAACCUGCCCUUGACUUUGGGAUAACUUCAGGAAACUGGGGCUAAUACCGGAUAGGAGCUCCUGCUGCAUGGUGGGGGUUGGAAAGUUUCGGCGGUUGGGGAUGGACUCGCGGCUUAUCAGCUUGUUGGUGGGGUAGUGGCUUACCAAGGCUUUGACGGGUAGCCGGCCUGAGAGGGUGACCGGCCACAUUGGGACUGAGAUACGGCCCAGACUCCUACGGGAGGCAGCAGUGGGGAAUAUUGCACAAUGGGCGGAAGCCUGAUGCAGCAACGCCGCGUGCGGGAUGACGGCCUUCGGGUUGUAAACCGCUUUCGCCUGUGACGAAGCGUGAGUGACGGUAAUGGGUAAAGAAGCACCGGCUAACUACGUGCCAGCAGCCGCGGUGAUACGUAGGGUGCGAGCGUUGUCCGGAUUUAUUGGGCGUAAAGGGCUCGUAGGUGGUUGAUCGCGUCGGAAGUGUAAUCUUGGGGCUUAACCCUGAGCGUGCUUUCGAUACGGGUUGACUUGAGGAAGGUAGGGGAGAAUGGAAUUCCUGGUGGAGCGGUGGAAUGCGCAGAUAUCAGGAGGAACACCAGUGGCGAAGGCGGUUCUCUGGGCCUUUCCUGACGCUGAGGAGCGAAAGCGUGGGGAGCGAACAGGCUUAGAUACCCUGGUAGUCCACGCUGUAAACGGUGGGUACUAGGUGUGGGGUCCAUUCCACGGGUUCCGUGCCGUAGCUAACGCUUUAAGUACCCCGCCUGGGGAGUACGGCCGCAAGGCUAAAACUCAAAGGAAUUGACGGGGCCCCGCACAAGCGGCGGAGCAUGCGGAUUAAUUCGAUGCAACGCGUAGAACCUUACCUGGGUUUGACAUGGAUCGGGAGUGCUCAGAGAUGGGUGUGCCUCUUUUGGGGUCGGUUCACAGGUGGUGCAUGGCUGUCGUCAGCUCGUGUCGUGAGAUGUUGGGUUAAGUCCCGCGACGAGCGCAACCCUUGUUCACUGUUGCCAGCACGUUAUGGUGGGGACUCAGUGGAGACCGCCGGGGUCAACUCGGAGGAAGGUGGGGAUGACGUCAAGUCAUCAUGCCCCUUAUGUCCAGGGCUUCACGCAUGCUACAAUGGCUGGUACAGAGAGUGGCGAGCCUGUGAGGGUGAGCGAAUCUCGGAAAGCCGGUCUCAGUUCGGAUUGGGGUCUGCAACUCGACCUCAUGAAGUCGGAGUCGCUAGUAAUCGCAGAUCAGCAACGCUGCGGUGAAUACGUUCCCGGG